GAGUAAAUGUAUUCACCUCUUGGCUGACUCAUCCUCAGACAUUUGCCUUUCUCCUUUAUUUAUAUUUCAGCUACUAUAAAACCUCUACUGCUUUGUCAAACCCACCUUUGUGGGACACGCAGAUCACUGCCAUUUCUGCUGCAUGACCAGUCGGAGACCUGCUGUACUCGCCACCAAAAGCGGCAAAUCCUCCACCUAAUGCCUGAAAAGGAAGAAAAUUCUCUUCACAGUGAAAAGAGAUUUGAAAGAGAAGGAAUGCUCCCCGAGUCAACUGAGCCCAGUGACUCUCGUAGUAUGCUCCCUAUACGUGUUCAGACACUUAAUGUAGAUGCUCCAAGUCUUUCCCCUGGUAUAUCUGCCUGCCUGGUGCUCUGUGUAGAUUUUGGUCCUCUGCUUGGGAUCACAGCCGUGAAAUGCUUCAAGUGGCGAGCGUGCUGUCCCAGCUCUGGCUGCAGUGACGGAGGGGACAGCUACGUAACCGACAGAGGGGGGAGGCUGGCACAUCACCCUGAGAAAGCAAUCUGAAGCAGUGAAGAAAAUGGAGUCUGAUUAAGGCAUCCGCAGCGCAAAAAAUGGACAGUGAUUGUCCUUUGUUUCUCUAUUUGUGACUUUGCAAUGUGGAUUUGAUUACAGCGGUCUGAACUCAGCAGAUUUCCUCCCUGCGAACAGUGGAAAACAUUGAUGCUCUAUUUACAAAGAAUUUCUGGGAAGCCUGUUGCACAUACGUAUCAACAACUACUUGCUUGGAUGGUUUUUAUUUAAUAGGGUUUUGAAAAGCAUGUGGAGAAAAUUUCUGCUGUGGUGCAUUUAACUUAGAAAUGUGCUGUGCCUGGAGGAAUAAGCUCUUAGGAGUUUCAGUGCUUUUGUAUCUGGGCAAAGUGUGCUGGUAUAGGGGUGUGUAUUUGGGCUCUCGUCUUAUCAUAAGCUCUGGGGCCUGUGGCUGGAUUGUACCUCGCUGGAGAGUCCAGCCUGUAUGUAGGCAAGGCUCUGUGUAGAAGUUGCGUUUGCUAAAAUUUUUUGCUCAAGGCCUUGAGUUUUAUAACAUUUUUUUAUGACGUUUGCUCUUUGGAACAAUAUCUACAAUAUGUUAAUUUUCCUUUUACUCCAAGCUCCAGCAAUCACCCUAAAAUGGCAUUACAUAACAUAGCACAUCUGGCCUGGAAAGGGACAGUUCAAAUGUUCUAUAUUUGGGUUGCGAUCAUUAUUUUAAUGUAGGUCUAGUGAGGGGAUUUGAAGAUAGAUAAUGUCUCUAAAAUUUGAAAAAUUCUACUGUGUCUCUUUAUGGUAUUUGUUUUAACUGACCUUUCUUUAUUUCCAGAUCACAGGAGAAGCCCUUCAGAGCUGGCACACAGGAGCAAUAUGAAUUACAAGCAAGGUGUGUCUAGAGUCUGCAAGGACCCAAUAUAUCCUGCACUCGUGGUUAAACGAGCGGGAAUUGCAGCCCUCGAACCCCACAGCAUUUGGUUAUACUUGAAUUUCUGAUUAUUCGCUCCCUUACAAAUAGUUUCUGAAUUUCCUAGUGUUCAGUAGCAAGCCUGAACACACAAAAAGCAGGUCACGGUUAUUCAGACAUUUUUUGUUUCAAAAUAACUCAGUAUCUGAUGCAAUUCACUUUAACUAGUACAUCCUCAAAUCACUGUUUUAAAAGCUUCCUUAAAAAUUGUUAAGGGACUUUUCUGUUUCCCUAUUGAAAUUUACAGCGGUCUUUUCAGCAAGGAAGAAACUAAUCAGGGUCCCAAAUCUAAAAAGUCUUUACACAGACAGUUAACCAAAAUAAAGUUGAAGAUACACGUAAAGAUAAAAGUCUUUGCAGGAAUUGGACUCAGCUAACCAUAAAAGAGAUGUCAUAAAAUCUGACUAUGCCAUCCAAAGCACAGAGAAAACCAAAAAAGUGAGACCAUUUAGUAACUUAUCUCCAUUUAAUCAAGUUGCAAGUACAUGAAGUACUCAUUUCUCAGCCAGCACUGUGAUUUUCAGGUGGGAGGCAAACCUUCAGGAUAUUUCCAAACAGGUCUCACAAGUUAUUUAAAAGUGCAUAUCCACUAUUUAUAGCUGAAGUAUUUCUCUUGUUUCACUUUCAGUGAAACUCAUGUUUGAAAUUUUUAUAGGCUUAAAAAGCAUCAUUCAGCCUGGUUAAAGAGCUUACUUUCGCAAUGCACACUGAAAGAUACAGCGCACUCAUGACACGGCAGGUAAAUAUGAAGGACAAACGCAUACAUGCUAUGUGUAAGGCAACAGAUCUCACGUUGGGAAACAAGAGGGGGAACUGAAAGAGAAAAGACUGGGAAGUAGGCAGAAGAGGAAAAGAGACAAGAAUAAGCACUAACAACCUGAGUCAACAUUAACAAGAAAAGACUCCCUGAAGGGAAGAGGUCCCUUUCUCAUGACUUCUCUGUUUAUUGAUUCAAAUGGAAGAAGAUAGAUACCACAUUGUGGACCUGUUUUCUAAUUAGCAAACAAACUAACAACUAUAAUUAAAACAUCUGAUUUAAAGAAUGCAUGAAAAGCAACCUUACUGUUUUGACUGUGACCUGUUUAGUCUGCUUUGAGCUUUUUAGAAGCUCAAUAUCGGAGGUUAUGGAACAGAUGGAAAAAAAUAAUGCCAGCACAUUUUCUCCCCUUAAGCUAAAUAAUAGGACACGCAGUGGGUAGAUACCACAUAAGUGGUAGACAAAACCUUGAUUUAGCUUCUAGAACUUGUAAGAACCAUACACACUGCAAUUUUUAAUUACUGAAAAUCAGUAUUAUAUCUUUAGUCUGAAAAAAAAAAAACCCAACCAAAACUUCCUAGAUGAUUUUAGGAUGCAGCAAUGUAUUAAACUUGCACAUCAAAAAAAUCCCAGUUCACACUGUUCAUUCUUCCAUUGUUCAUUCUUCUAUAUCUUAUAUAGAAGGGAUACUUUCAGCACACUGUAAGUCAGUUGCAUAUCCAAUGUCAUUAACCUUAACAUAGUCUUCAACAAGGUUUUGAAGCUCUGCAAUGUCCCUGGUCAUGCUCACAGCUUGCAGCAGUCACGACUUAGUUGCGUACAUACUCCCACCGGAUUUUCUAGGUCCAACGAAGCCACAAGAACAUAUGUGUUUGCACUGAUCCCACAUUUAAGCUCACUGCAGGAAAAGCUGCUCAGGCUUGCUCUAAGCCUGCAGUUAAAUGGAAGAAGACAGGUAACCUCUAGGGCCUGACCCAGUGUCCACCAGCUUCUCUGGGAGUCUUGGCAAUGAUGGCCUUAGCCCAUCAGUCAGGCCCCUUGGUGUUCGGUAUACAGUACACCCAGGUCUAAGAGCUGUUUCCAAAGGAGGAGCAAUAUGUCUUAUUUAAAACCUGUUAGUUUGUGAACUUAUCUCCAAAUAGUCCCAUGGGAAAACAGGGAAGUGUCAAAACCCAAUAUCUUAAAUUAUUGACAUACCAAGUAACCUGUGAAGGAAAACAAACACAUUUGCUCUCUUACCCUGAAAACAAAAGAUUGGCACCGCUUCUGUAAAUGAUAGUAAGGCUGGUUUUUUACCAGUAGUAAUGCAGGUUCUACAUGUUUUUAUUUCUUAGAAGAUUUUACUGAUGACAGA
Harpia harpyja (harpy eagle) is the source of this 3564-nucleotide long non-coding RNA. RefSeq lists it as uncharacterized. Lineage: Eukaryota; Metazoa; Chordata; Aves; Accipitriformes; Accipitridae. The transcript has 2 exons. The record is from RefSeq and is a predicted model, not a curated record.